AGUAAAGCUGACAGGACGCGGGGAAUGGCACGAUAAUGACAACAGAGCUUUGGGGCAUUUUUUCCAGAUUGCGAGGUCAGAAAAGGGGGCAAUAGCGGGGAAAAGGAAAGAAAUGCGAAGAACCGAGGCCAGGAGAAAAAGAUACGAGUGGGGGAUGGUCAGAUUAACAUGUAUUUUGUAUCUGGAGAUUGCUUAAGAAGGAAUCCUUGUUCGUAUUCUUUACUGACAUUCUUUGGAACCCAACCGGGAAUUCCAGGAGGACAGCGGGCACUAAACCUCACGCCCCUCCUGCAAAGGCAGAGAAAUUUUAACUGUCAUCAGGAGAUAGAAUUGUGGGGGAGAGGAAGUGGUGGAAGAGGCAGCAUGAGCCGGGGAUCACAUUCCACAGGGAACGGAGACGGGGCAAUGAUGCAGCUACAUGUUAGGAGGCUGGGGUUACUGACUGAAAUAAAUGCCGUAACAGGAUACAAGUUAAUUACAACCCAGCUACCACACAGAGGCUGUCAGGAAUGAGAAAAUCAUACCUUCGACUCAAACCUCCAAGAGAAGGAAGCCGGAGAGUGAAGCACCAUCUAAGCCUCCUCACUGAGAUGUGCAGCUUUCUCAGGACCAGCUGAUCUCUUUCAUGGAGUGGACCAGCCUAUACACCUUCCUAACAGCCUUCACCAGUUCUAGAUUCCAGAAUUCCGAAGCCUACAUUCUCACUUUGGAGUCAUGUCGUUUUUGGCUGAAGAAGACCUGAAAGAGGUCCCAGAAACCUUCCUGAUGCCCAGGCUACUUUAGAAGUAGCAAAAAUUAUUUCUUCAAGAUGGUGUCUUGGAGGAAAGUGGUGGGCACACCUCUCAGCUUCCAUACGCCCUGGGAGCUUUUUCCAGAGGGAGAUCUUAGCACAGCAGGAAGACAAAAGCCAUUGUCAAGGCUCUACCUUGAUGUACGUGGGAAAAAUCAGACUAUGGUGAAGAACUGGACACAGGCAGACCAUUGUGAAA
Paramormyrops kingsleyae is the source of this 989-nucleotide long non-coding RNA. RefSeq lists it as uncharacterized. The record is from RefSeq and is a predicted model, not a curated record. Lineage: Eukaryota; Metazoa; Chordata; Actinopteri; Osteoglossiformes; Mormyridae.